UACGAAGGUCCCAAGCGUUAUCCGGAUUUAUUGGGUUUAAAGGGUGCGUAGGCGGGCUAUUAAGUCAGUGGUGAAAUCUCCGAGCCUAACUCGGAAAUUGCCAUUGAUACUGAUGGUCUUGAGUACAUUUGAAGUGGGCGGAAUGUGUCAUGUAGCGGUGAAAUGCUUAGAUAUGACACAGAACACCGAUUGCGAAGGCAGCUUACUAAACAAUCAUUGACGCUGAGGCACGAAAGCGUGGGGAUCAAACAGG
Molecule: ribosomal RNA, 253 nt
Filed under: uncultured bacterium
Lineage: Bacteria
Description: partial 16S ribosomal RNA
Rfam family: Bacterial small subunit ribosomal RNA
Source: RNAcentral